This 721-nucleotide long non-coding RNA is filed under the name Phascolarctos cinereus (koala). Its description in RNAcentral is "lncRNA (ENSPCIG00000022376.2)". The record is from RNAcentral. Lineage: Eukaryota; Metazoa; Chordata; Mammalia; Diprotodontia; Phascolarctidae.
GAUGAGGGCUGUUGGUGUCACCCACACCUCCCCUUUUUCCUCCUCCCCACUCCCUGGUGACCUCCUCUCAUCUGGGCCAUGCAGUCUGUAGUGUCUCCUGUGACCAAGGCCAUCUUCGUGGCUUUGUUCCUCUUUGCCAUCCUGCUCAUCCUCUACGUGAUCCUCUGGUACAUCUGCAGAGACGUGGACAACGACUACAUCUGAGGUCCGCAGGCUGGAUGGCUGCUGUCUCCCGCACGAACAGGUCUAAAGCUAAGUCUUUGCUGAUAGAGUCCCUAAUCUUUGCUGCCCAAAUCACCAACCCCACCUCCAGAUCAGCUCUUCAGCCGUCAAGGGGCACAACACUUGGGGAGAAGGAGCCUGCUAUCCCCAUUACCACCAACGCCAACAGCUUCUGAUAAGCAGGUAAGCCCAAGAGUCUCAAGAAUGGUAGUGUCCCACAGAGCACCAGCCUUACUUUGAGCAUCGUCCCUGAAGCCAUCAUCCAAGGAAGUAGCCCUUUGUACUACCUUCUCAUCUCUGCCUCUUAGAAUUUCUUCUUUUCUUCAACACUCAGUUCAAGCACUACCUUCUAUAUCAAGCCUUUCCUGUUCCCCUUGACUUCUAAUGCCCUGUCAAAAUUGCCUUGUAUUUAUUGGCAUAUAUAUUCCAUAAGUACUUAUUAAUAUACAUACUGUUUUUUUAACAUUUUUUUGAGCUCCAAUUCUCUCCCUCCACCCCC